This is a long non-coding RNA of Manduca sexta (tobacco hornworm), 229 nucleotides long. RefSeq lists it as uncharacterized. The transcript has 2 exons. The record is from RefSeq and is a predicted model, not a curated record. Lineage: Eukaryota; Metazoa; Arthropoda; Insecta; Lepidoptera; Sphingidae.
UAAUGUCUCUUUAAGACAGUGCUUGUGUCGUGAAGUGUGAAGCGAAGGUGAAGUAAUGACGUUACGUGCCUUACCGGCAUCCUGUUAUAUGAUACAAGAAAGAUUUAAAAAUAUUGAUUUGUCAACGAGUAGAAUGCCUUCGCUAAUAUUUAGUAAUAGGUAUGACCUUGCGUUAUAGGUGAAACCUACAUCUAAUGGGUGAAAUGGUAUCUUAUAAUAAUUACUAUAG